Molecule: ribosomal RNA, 450 nt
Filed under: uncultured bacterium
Lineage: Bacteria
Description: partial 16S ribosomal RNA
Rfam family: Bacterial small subunit ribosomal RNA
Source: RNAcentral
GUCGAGAAUAAUUCACAAUGGGGGAAACCCUGAUGGUGCAACGCCGCGUGGAGGAUGAAGGUCUUCGGAUUGUAAACUCCUGUCAUCCGGGAGUAAGACCUGGCUGUGAAUAGCAGACAGGGUUGAUAGUACCGGAAGAGGAAGGGACGGCUAACUUCGUGCCAGCAGCCGCGGUAAUACGAAGGUCCCGAGCGUUGUUCGGAAUCACUGGGCGUAAAGGGAGCGUAGGCGGCGUGGUAAGUCAGAUGUGAAAUCCCGGGGCUCAACCCCGGAACUGCAUCCGAUACUGCCGUGCUAGAGGAGUGGAGAAGUAGCUGGAAUUCUUGGUGUAGCAGUGAAAUGCGUGGAGAUCAAGAGGAACACUCGUGGCGAAAGCGAGCUACUGGACAAUAUCUGACGCUGAGGCUCGAAGGCCAGGGUAGCGAAAGGGAUUAGAUACCCGAGUAGUCC